GACGCUAUAGAGCUCCAUGAUGUCAGAGAGUUCAAGCAAGCAUGAUUUCGAAGAGGCAUAGUCUGCAGACAAAACGAUGAUUGAGAUAUUUGAGACUGCAAUUGCUCGAGAAAGUGCAUCUGAAAGCUGCUCCCCCCUUUCCAGUUUUUCUUCAUCGAAGAAAACAUCAAGUACCUCGUCUUUCAAAGCUUGAAGUAAGUGAGUGGUAAAAUUAAGGCGCGUGUCUUCACCUCUGAAGCUCAAGAAAACAUGAUACUUCAUUAGAGUAGAAGAAUAAGAAGAAGAAGAAGAAGAAGAAGAAGCCAUGGAAGAGUAUUGAAGCAAAAGAGAGAAAAUUUGCUUGGGUUGUGGUAUUAUUGUAAGAAGAAAAAGUGUAAAACAUGCAUAAUCUUUGGUAUCCUUUUAUUAAAUGGGAAAGAGAUUGAAGGCGUUUUCCUUAGACUUGAGCUUAGCCAAUUAUCUUAGUCAACACCACCGGAGAUAAUCAAUUCUCCUUUUUAUCUUUUACCGCAAAAGUGGGAGUGUUUUGAUGGUGGGUGGGCCCAUCAAACCCAAAAUGUUUCUUAUUUCAACGAUUAAUAAAAUAUAAAUUUAAAACUCGCGAUUAAUUGAGCUUAGUUGAGAGGAUAAGUUUACAGUUUUAUAAUAAAGUCCCUCGUGAUGUUCUAAAUAUUUUAAAUCAAGAUAAAGUUAAGGGUGCUUUUGAUCAAUUUAGUUUGAUGUAAUUUUUAUUUGUUUGUUUGUUUUUUACUAAAAAUUUGGUUAUUAUCUGAAAUCGAAUCGAAUCGAAUUUUAUUUUUUAUUUCAUAUAUAAUUAAUUUUAACUUUUUUUAUAUAAAAAUACCUAUUUUAUAUUUAAAAUAGUGAAAGUAAUUUAAAAGUUUUUGAAAAAUUAUUGUAUUUUAGAAAUAUUUAUGAAAAUAAAUUUAAAAUUUAUCAAAUAAUAUUUAAAAGCCAUAAAACAAAACUCAUUUUAUCAAAAUAAACCUUAAAAAUCAAAACAAAAAAUUAAUAUAAGAAACUGUGAACCAAACCGAGCCGAAUUAAACAAUUAUCAGGGACCAACAAAAGGUUAGCGAAUUAACUAAUUUGGGCUUGGUCUUGUCUUUUUAUUUUGUUAAGUAUAAUUAACUAUAUUUUUCUAAUAAUCUAUCUGGUUCAUUAAAACACAAUUAAGGCCUUCAGAUUGUAAUUUCUGACAUAUCGCCAAAGGUGGAGCGUAGGAAUUGUGCGAGGGACAUGUUUGCAAAUUGGUCAGGAAGGAAGCUAGGGAAAUCUUAUGAGUAUGAUUUCUGGCAGAUUGUGAAUUCCACAAUUGAGAAUGAAUGGGAGGAAUUAUGUGCAGCACUAUGUCCGACUUGACUUUCAUUAAAAUUUUAUGGAAACUACGGAUCACGGUCAUAAAAUUCAAAAAAAAUAAAACAUAACAAAUAGAAAACACCUACUCUGUGAUCAAUAUAAAACCAUAUGUUAGAAGAUUAACCAAUCUCAAGCAUCUAUUGAUUAUAUAUAGGGAACAGUUGGUAGGUUUACCUUAUCUAACAUGAAUAUAAAUCAGAAAUCAUGAACUGAAAACAUAUAUAUUUACUAACAUUUUAAGGAAAUAUGAAGCAUAAAUCAAUGGGUGAACGAAUCAUUGAAGUAAAAUGCAGAUAGUCUUGAGAUACAAUAUGAUUAAAUCUCUACUUACUGCCCAUGGCACAAGCACCAAUGGUAGAACCUAAACAAUUAAGCUGAAUGAUGUCCACCACAGAUCCUAUGAAUCAAAACCCACCGCCAUAAAAAAAUUUACUGGAAAACAGUUAAAUUUUAAUUUUGAUCCCUAUAUUAUUUUCAAAUUUAAGAUCUAAUUUCUGAAAAUUAGUAAGUAUUCCUAUUAUGACAUUAUCGAUUUGGAGUAUUCUCAAAUUUAAAAUGGAAUCCCUAUAUUUCAAAAUCACUUGUAGUGAAGCAUAGGCGACGAUUUGAGCUUAGCCAAUUAUCUUUGACGGCAAUAAAAAAUACAUGUGCUUGUGCAGCUUUGAUAAAUUGCAUAGUGAAUCUUGUUUUUUCUUGUCUAGUCUGUUCAAUAAAACUGAACUAUCUGACCCACACAUCUCAAAUGUUAAGUUAACAUGCGAUCUUAAAAGAAAUAUGGGUUAUGGUGAGAAGAAUUCAGAACACUUUUAUCUUCAACUCAAUUAAUCUAGUGGCUCCAAAUUGGCUUUUUUUUUUUUUGCUUUUUUUUUUACCAUUGGAUUCUAUUUGAUAAAACUAAAAAUAAGUUCUUUUCUUCAUAAGCAUUGUUUUUCAAAGUUGAAACCCCACCACCCAUUCAAUCCUAUCCAUUACUUGAUAAAAGCUGAAGCAUAGGCCACGAAUUUAGCUUACCCAAUUUUCUUUUACCGACAGAAUUGAGCAAUAAGAUUUACUCUUUUGACAGAAUUUUUUUAAAUGUCAUUCAUCAUAUAGUUACCCUCAACAAUUGUUCCAUAUCAAGAUUUUGUCUCUAACUUCCACGGAGAGCCAUUGUAUGGUUCACCGGACAGGAAACCUCGAUUGGUGGAGAAGAUACAUACUUGUAGGAGAGGUAAAAUAUUUAUCACGGGCAAAAUAUUUAAAACUAACAUCUCCCAAGGAGAAGGUUACUUAUGCCUUGAUUGGUGGUUUGAAUCUCCACAUGCAUAUUUUAAAAUGAUUAAUAUUUUUACAUAAUGCUCACGCUUCUCUCCUGAGCUCCUAAAAGCACGUAUCUCUUCCACCAAUUGAAUCACUCCACUCCCUAAAUAAUCCACAAGGCUCUCCACAUAGUUGAGACAUAAAAACUUCAACAUGGGAUAAGACCUCUGAUAGUUGAGUUAAAUACUGACUGCCCGACAAACAACACCACAAAGACUUCUCUUGAAAGAGUCGGACCCCCUCAACAAAUUUAAACCGAAGUUCUUUUUUCAUGAAAACCUAAAACAAUAAAAGUGGGACAAAAUAAAAAUUUAGAUUACAAACCAUAAAUAGUUUGAGCAAAAACAUUUAAAAUGAUGUUUUAUAAUGAAAACUUAUUUUAAUUAUGAAAUUUGAUCCGUAAUCAAACAACACAGCUCGUGUGUAUAUGUCAUGCUACGUACCUUAGCUGUAAAGGGUAUCAAGUAACUAGUCGACAAUCCAAAAUUAUAACUUAUUUCAAAUAUGACAUUUCCAUCAUUUUCGGUAUCCAAGAUAUCCAAAAUCUUCCGGGGAUUGAGUUUUAGCAUAGAUAUCAUCGUUGGCAUUACAAUAAUUAAGAGGAUGUGUUUAAAUAUUUUAAAAGUUUGAUAGUUUAUGAUAGAAGUAGGGAUUAUAUAAGAAAAUUAAAAUUCUUCCAAAAUGAUGGUGAUGAUUAGGAAUUUCCAAGUCAAGGUCUUCCAAUGGGACAAAAUUGUUAAGCAAGUGACUAAACUAAUAAAAGAGUCGUUGAACUAGUUAACUACUUGUGUUAAAUAAGUUCAAAUACUUUCGGUCUACUCAAAUAAAACUCUAGUUUGAACUACCCGUUAUUUAAAAUGAAGUAUUAAUUUAUAUUAAAGAUUUUAUUUAAGAUAUUUGGAUAACAUUUAAAGUUUGAAUGCUUAUUUGGGGUAUAAUACAAGUAUAAGAAAUUAUUUAGAUAAAGUGAUAAAACUUAAGGGCCUAUUUCAUAUAUUCAUAUAAGUAAAUUAUCUAUAGGAAAAAAUAUAUUUGUUGAUUUUUUAUAGAUAUUAUCUAUAUUAGUAGUUUCAACAAAUUGAAAUAAAAUGGGUUUCUUUUUAUAGUUAAAAUUUAUUUUAAUUUAUGAAAUUUCGUUUGUGAUCUAGUAGCUCUGCUCUUAUGUUGAAGGUAUACCUACUCAAGGGUCGGGUCAUUCAACCCUAUCUGAAGGCUUGUCUGAAAAGUGGGAGAAUUUUAGUAAAAAUAUAAACUCGAAAAAUGGGAUUGAAAAAAAAAACUUGUUUAAAAAACGGAUUAGGCCCAGGUAAGACAUUUUUUGCCCAAGCCUGUCCCAAACUCACUAAAUGACAAAAGAAUAUGCUAUUUUUUUGUUAUUUUAAUUAUAUAUUCUUAUUGUUUUCUCCUUAUUUUGCUACCAUUUCACUAUUAUGUUGCUAAUAUUUUGUUCUUAUUAUUUGGAUAUUGUAUAACACUUGUUUUACUGUUAAUGUUGUUAUUAUUUGAAAGAUAUUUGCUUGUUAAGUUGCAUCUAUGUUAGUAAUAUUUAAUUAUACAUAUUUUUUUAAAAUUUGUUUUCAAUUUGUUGAGAAAUAUGUAUUUUAAUGUUUUUAAUAUUUUCUAUAUAUUAUAUAUAUUUAAAAAAUCAUAUAAAAAUUUAAUAUGGGUGGGCUAUGUCGGGCCCAAGUUUUAGCAUUUUUAUCUAGACCGGACUUGGAUAAAUUUUUAAGCCCAUUUUUUAGCCAAACCCAGGUCUAAUAAAUAGGCCUAAAUUUUUACUUGAGCUCAACUCAGCCUGUCUCAGUCCAUGAGCACCUCUAGUUGUAUGUGAUGCUAUUUUUUAUUUUUGAAGAUAAUCAAUAACUAGUCAACAAUCCAAAAUUAGCCAUUGUUUCAUAUAUGCAUAUUUUUGGAAUGGGAUAAAGCAACAUUCAAUCUGACAUUUUUUCUUAACUUGGUCCUCAACUUGGUUUUUUGUCCAUAUUAAUCUUGAAACAUGUUAAUUUUUAGCAAUUUUGGUACCUGCGAUGAUGUGACAUUUUUAGAUUGAGCUACAUCAUCAAUUAAGUUAUUAUAUAUUUUAAAGUGCAACAUCAUUAUAGCGAUCAAAAUUUGAAAAAAAAGUACUCAUUUUCAUUAAAGUUCUCUGAUAACAAAAACUAAUUUAUCAAAUAUUAGCACAGAAAAAUUUAUAGACAUUCCAUUAAAUAACUCAUAAAAAUAAUUAUAUUAGGAUAGGCGUAAACUAAUUGAACACUUUUAAGAAUUUUUACAUACAAAAAGUGUUUUCUUUUCUUUUUAUUUUUUCAAAUCAAUGCAUUAAGUAUUUAACUAAGUCAUAAACCUUGAGCAGAUUCUACAUUAUACCUAAGACAUAGUUAUUAUGUAUCAUUAUGCAUCAAUUCUAUCAUACCAGGCCCUUGGUGCUUAAGAAAACUUGAUGCAUCAUUUGACGAGAAGAAGAUGAAGAAGACGCCAUGAAAGUGUAUGGAUUGUGAGAUUGAGGAAAAAGAGCACAAAUAAACCUUGGGAGCUUUGCUUUUGCUUCUGCUUUUUAUUCAAAUUCUCUUAUAUUUUGGAUCAACCUUCGAGCUUGACAUUUGCAUAUUGUUAGUAAUACGAGCUGUUAUCCUUAGAUGAAUAUCCAAUUUAAAGGGACUGUUUUUCUUGCCUAGUCUGUGAAAUAAUUGUUCCAUCCAUUAGUGUACUAUUUGGUCCCCGACGCCCCACAAUUAAGUUCACAUAAUAUUGAUUUUCAUGUGUUUUUUUCCUUACCUUCAUUCAUUGAUUGCAAAAAAGCAAAUCAAUACUAUGCUACAAAGCCGUCAGUCAUCCUCUUGGCUGAAUUUUCAUGGAAAAUCUGCAGAUUACAGUCUUAUAGCUGUAACUUAAUAACGCACCAAAGCAUGAAAAUUCACCACUUGAUAUUAAACACCCAUCAUCCAGUUUGGUUUUUAAAUAAGCACUUCGUUUUCUAUCAUAUGAGAUUAAUUUAUUUAAAAAUUGUGGAUGCAAGCUUACAACAUCUAUCACUAGCUAAUUUGUAAUGCUAAUGGACCUGAAUUUGUGUAAUUACUGCAAUAUAUAAUAAUCAGAGUUGUAUAAUUUGUGUUUUUUUCUUAUAGUAGAUCAUAGUCUAGGAUUACAGAAAAUUAAUUUAAUUACUAAGCUUCGAAUCUUGAACUUGUUGGAUAUCAUCUCAUCAAAACCAAUGUACAAACCAAUUCCAAAACAGAGUAGAACUCUGGAAUUUUAAUUACAAAAAGGGAAAAUUGAUUCAAGUUUUAGCCCAAACUGAUGUAACAAUCAAGUCAAAUAGCUUUACCAUGAAACCAACUCUUCAUUUUGAAGUUCCAACUAAACCAAAAUCAUUUGGAUUUUUUUUUCCAGGUGUUUAUGUUGGGUUCCUCUAUGGGGUAAAUAUCAAUCUAGCUUGAGAAUGAAAACUGUGAUAGGGUUGGCAUUGAAAAUAACAUCCAGGCUCCAUGUGUUCAUUCAACGAGUUUUGAGAUGAGAGCAACACUGCCAAAUUCUGCUUGCAUUUAUAUGGUCCAUUGAUAAAGCAGAGGGAAAGAAUACCAUGAGGAUACUAAUAAUCAGAAUGAGUCGAUAGUAAUUUACCCAAGAGCAUAUGCUUCCUCUCAAUGGGAUAAACAAGGCAACUCUGUUGACAAGUUGCAGUACUGCUUCAAUAUCUAAGUCCAACCACAAUAUAAAGAAAUCAUUUAGUAGACGAAAUUGAAGAUCUUAAAAGCUUACUUGUUACAAACAUCUGUUAUUUAUUCCCUCAUCUGCUUUCCUUACAUCAAUCAUUGCCACCUUUAUUCCCUUCACAUGAAUCUCUAGGUAAAAGGCCACAUCUAUAAAUGUGGAUUUUGUGGGAACUUCAUUUGUUGGUGAGAAAGAAGAAAUAAAAAAACCACCCAUAAUCUGCAACUUCAAUUCCAGUAGAGUAUUGAAUCUGUGUCUGGCUUCACUUUCAUGCAAGUUUUAUGAAAUCUACAGAUCACAGUCAUAAAAAAAAAUUAAAAAAAAAAAAAGAACAUAACAAAUAGAAAAUACGUACUCCUAGAUCAAUAUAAAAGCAUAGGUUAUAAGAUUAACCAAUCUCAAACAUAUGUUGAUUAUAUUUAGGUAAUGGUUGGUAGGUUUAGCUAACAUGAAUGUAAAUUAGAAAUCAUGAACUGAAAUAUUAUAUAUAUAUUUACCAACUUUCAAAGGAAACAUGAAACAUAAAUCAAUGGGUGAACAAAUCAUUGAAGUAAAAUGCACAUAGUAUUGAGAUGCAAUAUGAGAGCAGUAACAUACAAAGAAAUUUCAGCCCAAACUGAUAUGAUAAUCAAAAUCCAAGAUAAGAAAAUAUCAACUCCAAUAGCUCUACCAUGAAACUAACCCAAUCUAGCUUGAGAAGAAAACUGUCAAAGGUUGCCUCCAGCUCCAUGUGUUUAUCCCACAAGUUUUGAGAUCUGUUGCAAAUUCUGGAUUUAUAUAAUCCCAUUGAUAAAUAUGGGAAAAAUGGCGAGGAUUCUGAAAAUCAUUAUAUGAACCUAAAAUCAUGAUAAUAAGUCAAAGUCAAAAGGAACUUACUUAUCCACCAAGACUGAAUUGCCAGAACCCAAAAAGGGGCUCAAAAGAUUACUUUGACUUUGUGUUGACAAAUCUGUUGACAACUUGCAUUGUCACCAAAUAUCAGUUCAAACACUUAUAUAAAGCAAGCAUUCAGUAAAUAAAAUUGAAGGUCUUACAGCUCAGGUGUUCCUCCUUGUAUGGCUAAAGCUCCAAUUCAGCAGUGGCAUUCCCAAAGAUUUGUCAUUCCCUAAUCUUAAUCAACACAGAAGCAAAGGAUAUAAGAAAAAACAAUCUCACAAAUAACCAAUCUUUCUAAUGAAUCAAGAUAUGAUUGAAGGAAAAUGCAGCAAGCAUUGAGAUACCAGAUGAUACCAACGCUGGAACUAAACAAUGAAGCUGAACCGAGUCCACCAAAUAGCUAAAGCUCCAAUUCAGCAGUGGCAUUCCCAAAGAUUUGUCAUUCCCUAAUCUUACAUCAACACAGAAGCAAAGGAUAUAAGAAAAAACAAUCUCAAAAAUAACCAAUCUUUCUAAUGAAUCAAGAUAUGAUUGAAGGAAAAUGCAGCAAGUAUUGAGAUACCAGAUGAUACCAACGCUGGAACUAAACAAUGAAGCUGAACCGAGUCCACCAUUGGUCCUAUGAAUUAAAAAAAAAAAACCCAAUAACAAGUCAACUGUCAAUAAGAAUUAAGUAUGAAUUUUAAUAUUUGAAUUUUGGCAACCACCAAAAUCCCCUAUGGAUAUUUUAUCAACUCCAAAGCAGAAUCAUUUUGCUACUGUAUUGAAAUCUCCAGUUACUGUUCAAUUUUCCUCUAAAUUAAUUAAUAUAUAUGGAGAAUUUCCUUCUUGGACAAUAUAUGCUAUAUCUACAAAAGAACACAGACACGACAGGGGAAUGAAGAUGAGAAAAAUGAUAGUAAGCAACAAUCACAACUGUUAACAAAUUUCCAAUUUUAUGUUUCAUAAAUUAUGCUUUUAACAUUUACAAUGUGGAACUACAAGGUUUCAGUAUGGUAAAGCACCUUCUAGAAGACAAGCAAUUUAUAAAGCAGAGCAAGUUUAGAUUCAUCCUGGUCGGUUUUAAUUAAUUAAAGCACUUCAUUUGCUGUUAUUAAUUUAUAAGUUCAAAAUUUACUAUUAACAAUUGUGGAAAACAAAAGCAUGGCAAUAUGAAAAAUGAAAUGAAAAAACUGAAAAAUGUAUGAUAAUAUGAAAAAAUGAGAUGAAAUGAAACCCUUACCUAUGCAUUUGGAUGACAUAAUUGAGAAGUUGAAACUCCUCAAAAGCAGAGCCAAAGAUGGAAAGAAAUACAAACUAUUUCAAUCUUUUAAGUCCUCCAUCCCCUUCUUCACCAUCAUGGCUAAAGCUUCUUUUGUUCCCAGCAUGUCUCUUUUCAGUAGCAUCUGUAGCAUCUGUAGCAUCUGUAGCAUCUGUAUCAUCUGUAGCAUCUCUCUGCAUCCACGUAAAAUACAUGAACACCACAUCUCUCCACCUUGAUAUACUCUUUUCCUGCUCUUCUUAAAUCCAAAAGUCUGAUGUAGAAUUUGAAUGAUGCCUCCUCAUAAUUCUGGUCUUCUUUAACCAUAUCGGCGGUAGAUAGAAUAAACAAGUGAUAAUCCUUGUACUUCUCUGGCUUAGGAAACAAUAACAAAGAUAUUUUACUUCUAAGCUUUCCAUAACCACCACCACCACCAUCAUUGCCACCAUCGGCGGCUGUAAGUUGGUACCUACAAAUACAUUCAACAUUACUAAUGUAACGGCAGUGAGUGAGAUCAGCCACAAGGCAGAAAACAAAAACCAAAAAUCUGCUCCCACCACCCCCAUUUGGGGCUAUCUUCAAACUUAAGGAAGAAUUCAUGCUCUGACACUUGAACUUAUUUGCUGAAAUUUUGUUUCCUGGGAAACAACAAAUCAAACUUGACAAAUCAGGAAUCUUGCCACAGCAAUCAAACCUCGCUGCCCAUUUCUUAGCUAGGAAUCGAAUUUUGAGCAUGGCAUUUUCCUCAAUGUUAUUAAUUGACUCUUGAUUCAAGUUGAAGCAAUUACAGAAUAACAUGCGAAACACACCAUCACGUUCAUCACCUAAAGAAUCAAACUGAUAUAAAUUUUGAUCUGCAAAGGAAACUUUUUUUAAUGAUGUGCAGCCAUGUACAUUCAGGUAGAGCAGAUAUGGUGGAAGCUCUGAGAGUAAUUUGAGGCUCUUGCAACGAUUCAUAUGCAUAUACUUAAGGCUUUUAAACCUAAAGCUAGCUGAGCGCACAUCAACAGUUGGAAAUUUAACGAUUGGACAACCACUAAGAUCUAGAACUUCAAGGGAUUUCAACUUUGAAAUAUUGCUUGAUACAUCUUUUACCAUUGAGUUUGUCAAGGUCAACCGUUGAAGUCUGUCGAGACGCUCAAUGAAAUCAGGUACCUUUUUUAUUCCGGUUUCUGAUAAAUUUAACGUAUCAAAGUUAUUUGGGAUCUCCGGAAACUUCUUGAGACUACGACAUCCCUUAAGGCGAAGGGAUUUAAGUGAUGUCAAAUGGGCGAGGGAAGGAAGUUUAACCAAACUUUCGCAAUUUCCACAGGCAAGUUUUUCAAGGUUGAGGGCUCCUAAUAAAUUAGGGAUCUUCUUUAAAUUUUUGCAACUGAAAAGGUUAAUUUGCCGUAAAUGAACAAGAUCCUGCACAUGAUGAGAACAUAAAGUAGUUAGAGCAUCAUUUACUUAGACUCUAUCAAAAUAAAAAUUUAUAUUUGAUGUAUUGUUUCUUUUAAAAAAUAGAAUAAAAUCUUUUAUAUUUAUUUUUUAAAAAAUUUAAUAAAAAUAUGUUAUUUAAAUGCUAUAUCAAUUAUAAAUUCUUUUUCUUAAAAAAAUUCUUGGACAAAGAAAGUAUAAAAGUAUAUAUACCUGAUGAACUUCGUUCCAAAGUUGUUCCAUCUUUCCAUAUGGUAAUUCCAAUGCAAUAAGGUUCUUUGGAUUAUAACUUGAUGAUAAAGAUUUGAAGGGAUAAUAAUGCCAUACAAGAUACCUUAGCUCAUCCGGAAGAGAGAUAAUAUCAUCUUGGUAUGUAUGUAGCUUCUUAUACUCCUCAUGCUCUUUCCUCAACCAACUCCGUGGAAAAUAGAAGAAAAUAUAUCUAAGAUUAAUCAUGCUUUCAAAAACAGAAGGUUGGAAUAAUAGGUUACCCAUACGUGACAAAUCUACCUUUAUUCCUUGAAUUCGAUCAGUUCCCUGAUAACAAAAACCAAUUUAUCAAAUAUUAGUAUGGAGAAAUUUAUAGACAUCCAUUAAAUAACUCAUAAAAAAUAUAACUAUAUUAGGAUAGGCGUAGACUAAUUGAGUACUUUUAGGAACUUUUACAUACAAAAAGUGUUCCCUUUUCUUUUGUUUUUAUUUUUUCAAAUCAAUGCAAUAAGUCAUAAACCUUGAGUAGAUUCUACGUUAUACCUAAGACAUAGUCAUUAUGUGUCCAGUAUGAUGAUACUUGAUAUGAUAUCAAAUGUAUAGGUUGAUAUAGUGGCAUUCAACCAAAUGACAAUAUCUCAUUAAAGUAUAUUACAAAAAUAAAAGAAUAUAAAUAUAAUUAGUGCUUACUUUAUUAUAUUUGAGCACUUCUUCCACGUGUUUCAGAUUCCAUAGUCUACUGCACUUACCAAGGGUUUUAGAUUCUUGACAAACAAUGUCCUUUCCCAUCUCUUCAAGCGUAUCAUGCAUAUCAAUUGCAUCUCGUAAUAAUUUACAGGGGCCCAUCGUAGAAUAACCAAAAUAAUCAAUAGAGAAAUUAGUAGAUGAGACAUUGAUCAGGCAUUUGUCAACCAAUUUGUUCAUUCCACACUCUGCACCCUUAUAACAACCACUUAGAAUAAGUUUUGCUCUUUCCAUGGGUUCCCCUUUAAAGAAGCAUGCAAUGUCAAGAAAUAUAUUCUGCUCUACUAAAUCUAGUCCAUCAUAACUACUUCUCAAAGCCUCUGAAAUUUUUUUUUCUGGGGGACAGUCCUUUAGCUUCUCCGCCUUACUUUCCCAAUAAUUUAUACUUCUUUUAUUUAAAUCAGAACCCAAAACUUUAAGAGCAAGUGGAUUGCCUUGAGUGUACUUUACAAACCUACGGGAUAGAUCUUGAAAACCGACUGCGGGAUUCAACUGCUUAAACGCAAAGGUAGAAAAAAGUUGAAGAGAAUCGUUCUUAUUUAACCCUUUCACCUUAUGUAUUGUGUCAGCUCCUCCACUCUCAAGCACUUGUCUAUCUCUUGAUGUUAUAAUGGUUUUACUUCCAUAACCAAAAUGUUUAACACCCAUAUAAUCUAUUUGGUCUGAGUCAUCAACAUCAUCAAGGACAACAAGUACUUUCUUCUUGUUGAGUCUCUCUUGAGUUAAAGUGGAUCCAAUGGAGGGGGUGCCUAUAUCAACAUUUGAUUUCAAUAAUUCCGAAAGAAAUUUAUUUCGUAAAGAUUCCUUCCCUUGUUUUUUUAUUUCCUCUCUAACAUUUUGAAGAAAGCAAUGACUUUCAAACUCUGAAGAGAGUUUUUUAUAUACAACCUCAGCAAGGGUUGAUUUGCCUUGACCACCCAUUCCCCAAAGUCCUAUUACACGACAGUCUUUUUGCUUAAUCAGCUUCGAAAUCGUCCUUUUCUGAUCAUCUAUUCCAACCAAUUCUUCAGAAGCACUUUCAAACCCAAUAUUCGUCAACUUUUUUAUAACAUAUUCAACAACAUCUUUAAUGUACUCGGUUUCAGGUCUAGAAAACCAUAAAAAAUGUAAAUAAGUAAAUAUGAAAUCUAAAACAAAGAUAAGUUGAAAAUAACAAGAUAAGAAAAACAUAGUUACCUGUCAAAUUUGCCUCCUUCUAUAUGCCACCCUUUUAAUUUACCGACCUCUGCAAAAGCAGUUUUCCAUUGUUGUACUCUAUCAGCUGGUUGCUCUGAUUCAUGCUCUUCGAAGGUUGUCUUAAAAUGCCCACCACUAUUUCGCACAUCGGAAGGAUCAACAUGGUAAAAGACGGGAAGAACAAUAUGUUUGUCAGUGGGAUUGUGCUUGCGAUCCAUGAUGUCAGAAAGUUCACCUAAGCAUGAUUCUGAAGAAGCAUAGGCUUUAGAUAAAACGAGGAUUGAGAGAUUUGAGGCCGAAAUUGCUCGAGAAUACGUUGGUGGAAGUUUCUCUCCUUUUUUCAGUGUUUCGUGAUCGGGGAAGACAUUAAUUCCUACUUUUUCCAAAGCAUUGACUAGGUGAUUGGAGAAGUUGAGGCGUGUGUCUUCACCUAAGCUUAAGAAAACUUGAUGCUUCAUCAACUUUUGCAUAACAUACGCAACAAUAUCCUUGAUGUACUGGGUUUCAGGUCUAGCAAAUAAUAGAAGAAGUAUAUAUAUGAAAUCCAAAACGAAGAUAAGUCAAAUAUAAGGAGAUGAGACAAAUAUAGUUACCUAUCCGAGAUGCUUCCAUCUAUAUGCCACCCUUGUAAUUUACCAACUUCAGCAAAAGCAGUUUUCCAUUGUUUCACUUCAUCGACUGACCUCCUUGUUUCAUGCUCAUCAAAGGAUUUCUUAAAACUCCCAUCAAUAUUCUCCACAUCAGAGGGGUUAACAUGGUAAAAGAUGGGAAGAACAAUUUGUUGUUCGACGCUAUAGCGGUCCAUGAUGUCAGAGAGUUCAAGCAAGCAUGAUUUCGAAGAGGCAUAGUCUGCAGACAAAACGAUGAUUGAGAUACUUGAGACUGCAAUUGCUCGAGAAAGUGCUUGUGAAAGCUGCUCCCCUUUUUCCAAUUUUUCUUCAUCGAAGAAAACAUCGAGUCCCUCGUCUUUCAAAGCUUGAAGUAAGUGAGUGGUGAAAUUAAGGCGCGUGUCUUCA
RNAcentral lists this long non-coding RNA (13050 nucleotides) under Gossypium barbadense (sea-island cotton). Its description in RNAcentral is "long non-coding RNA (GBAR_LNC020379)". Lineage: Eukaryota; Viridiplantae; Streptophyta; Magnoliopsida; Malvales; Malvaceae. The record is from RNAcentral.